This 468-nucleotide ribosomal RNA is filed under the name uncultured bacterium. RNAcentral describes it as "partial 16S ribosomal RNA". It matches the Rfam family "Bacterial small subunit ribosomal RNA", at positions 28 to 507 of the family's 1533-position model. The record is from RNAcentral.
GAUGAACGCUGGCGGCGUGCUUAACACAUGCAAGUCGAACGGAAAGGCCCUGCUCUUGUUUGGUGCUCGAGUGGCGAACGGGUGAGUAACACGUGUGUAACCUGCCCUUGACUUUGGGAUAACUUUAGGAAACUGGGGCUAAUACCGGAUAUAAGCUUCUGAUGCAUGGUGGGGGUUAGAAAAUUUCGGCGGUUGGGGAUGGACUCGCGGCUUAUCAGCUUGUUGGUGGAGUAGUUACUUACGAAGGCUUUGACGGGUAGCCGGCCUGAGAGGGUGGCCGGGCACAUUGGGACUGAGAUACGGCGCAGACUCCUACGGGCGGCAGUAGUGGGGAAUAUUGCACAAUGGGCGGAAGCCUGAUACAGCAACGCCGCGUGCGGGAUGACGGCCUUCGGGGUGUGAACCGCUUUCGCCUGUGACGAAGCGUGAGUGACGGUAAUGGGUAAAGAAGCAACGGCUAACUACGUG